GACAGAGGUGCCAAGCGUUAGGCGGAAUCACUGGGCUUAAAGCGUAUGUAGGCGGACUUGUAAGUACCUUGUGAAAUCCCACGGCUCACCCGUGGAACUGAUGGGUAUACUGCGAGUCUUGAGCCACUUAGGGGCUGUCGGAACAGGCGGUGGAGCGGUGAAAUGCGUAGAUAUCGCCUGGAACGCCAAAGGUGAAAACAGACAGCUGGGAGUGUGCUGACGCUGAGACACGAAAGCCAGGGGAGCGAACGGGAUUAGAUACCCCGGUAGUCCUGGCCGUAAACGAUGUCGACUAGAUCGUGGAGCCUCUGACGGUCUCACGGUCGAAGCAAAAGUGCUAAGUCGACCGCCUGGGAAGUACGGUCGCAAGGCUAAA
This 376-nucleotide ribosomal RNA is filed under the name uncultured bacterium. RNAcentral describes it as "bacterial SSU rRNA". It matches the Rfam family "Bacterial small subunit ribosomal RNA", at positions 524 to 898 of the family's 1533-position model. The record is from RNAcentral.